This 279-nucleotide ribosomal RNA is filed under the name uncultured bacterium. RNAcentral's name for it is "partial 16S ribosomal RNA". It matches the Rfam family "Bacterial small subunit ribosomal RNA", at positions 335 to 603 of the family's 1533-position model. The record is from RNAcentral.
ACUCCUACGGGAGGCAGCAGUGGGGAAUAUUGCACAAUGGGGGAAACCCGUAGCAUGCAGCCAUGCCGCGUGUAUGAAGAAGGCCUUCGGGUUGUAAAGUACUUUCAGCAGUGAGGAAGGUGGGUAUGUUAAUAGCAUACACAUUUGACGUUAGCUGCAGAAGAAGCACCGGCUAACUCCGUGCCAGCAGCCGCGGUAAUACGGAGGGUGCGAGCGUUAAUCGGAAUUACUGGGCGUAAAGCGCAUGCAGGUGGUUUGUUAAGUCAGAUGUGAAAGCCC